This 213-nucleotide long non-coding RNA is filed under the name Setaria viridis. RNAcentral describes it as "long non-coding RNA (SVIR_LNC010628)". The record is from RNAcentral. Lineage: Eukaryota; Viridiplantae; Streptophyta; Magnoliopsida; Poales; Poaceae.
GGGAAGUCGGAGAUGAUUGUGAUGUUGUGCUCUUGGAAAUAAUGGCGCAGUUUCCGGGAGGUGAGCAGAAUUGCAUAUAAGAGCUUUUGCAUCGGUGAAUACCGAGUUUUGGAGUCCGAGAGUACUUCGCUGACGAAGUAGACAGGUCGUUGGACCUUGUAAGGGUGGCCCGGUUCAGACCGUUCGACUACUAUUUCCGUGCUGACGACAUGA